RNAcentral lists this ribosomal RNA (484 nucleotides) under uncultured bacterium. RNAcentral's name for it is "partial 16S ribosomal RNA". It matches the Rfam family "Bacterial small subunit ribosomal RNA", at positions 28 to 523 of the family's 1533-position model. The record is from RNAcentral.
GACGAACGCUGGCGGCGUGCUUAACACAUGCAAGUCGAACGAUGAAGCUAGAGCUCGCUCUGGUGAAUUAGUGGCGAACGGGUGGGUAACACGUGAUUCACCUGCCCCGAACUCUGGGAUAACUGCUGGAAACGGUAGCUCAUACUGGAUACGACCUACGAAGGCAUCUUCUGUAGGUGGUAAGAAUUUCGGUUCGGGAUGGACUCGCGGGCGAUCAGCGUGUUGGUGAGGUAAUUUCCUACCAAGGCGACGAAGGGUAGCCGGCCUGAGAGGGUGACCGGCCACACUGGGACUGGGAUGCGGCCCAGACUCCUACGGGAGGCAGCAGGGGGAAAUAUUGCACAAUGGGCGCGAGCCUGAUGCAGCGACGCCGCGUGAGGGAUGACGGCCUUCGGGUUGUAAACCUCUUUCAGCACCGACGAAGCGCAAGUGACUGUAGGUGCAGAAGAAGGACCGGCCAACUACGUGCCAGCAGCCGCCGUAA